This 74-nucleotide transfer RNA is filed under the name Insectozyma chauliodis. Its description in RNAcentral is "Candida chauliodis tRNA-Leu". It matches the Rfam family "tRNA". From Rfam's summary of the family: Transfer RNA (tRNA) molecules are approximately 80 nucleotides in length. Their secondary structure includes four short double-helical elements and three loops (D, anti-codon, and T loops). The record is from RNAcentral. Lineage: Eukaryota; Fungi; Ascomycota; Pichiomycetes; Serinales; Debaryomycetaceae.
AUGACUGUGGCGGAAUUGGUAUACGCGGUUAGUUUAGGUCUAACUCCCUAAGGGUUCGAAUCCCUUCAGUCAUA